RNAcentral lists this ribosomal RNA (642 nucleotides) under Escherichia coli. RNAcentral describes it as "partial 23S ribosomal RNA". It matches the Rfam family "Bacterial large subunit ribosomal RNA", at positions 390 to 1032 of the family's 2925-position model. The record is from RNAcentral. Lineage: Bacteria; Pseudomonadati; Pseudomonadota; Gammaproteobacteria; Enterobacterales; Enterobacteriaceae.
GCACAUGCUGUGAGCUCGAUGAGUAGGGCGGGACACGUGGUAUCCUGUCUGAAUAUGGGGGGACCAUCCUCCAAGGCUAAAUACUCCUGACUGACCGAUAGUGAACCAGUACCGUGAGGGAAAGGCGAAAAGAACCCCGGCGAGGGGAGUGAAAAAGAACCUGAAACCGUGUACGUACAAGCAGUGGGAGCACGCUUCGGCGUGUGACUGCGUACCUUUUGUAUAAUGGGUCAGCGACUUAUAUUCUGUAGCAAGGUUAACCGAAUAGGGGAGCCGAAGGGAAACCGAGUCUUAACUGGGCGUUAAGUUGCAGGGUAUAGACCCGAAACCCGGUGAUCUAGCCAUGGGCAGGUUGAAGGUUGGGUAACACUAACUGGAGGACCGAACCGACUAAUGUUGAAAAAUUAGCGGAUGACUUGUGGCUGGGGGUGAAAGGCCAAUCAAACCGGGAGAUAGCUGGUUCUCCCCGAAAGCUAUUUAGGUAGCGCCUCGUGAAUUCAUCUCCGGGGGUAGAGCACUGUUUCGGCAAGGGGGUCAUCCCGACUUACCAACCCGAUGCAAACUGCGAAUACCGGAGAAUGUUAUCACGGGAGACACACGGCGGGUGCUAACGUCCGUCGUGAAGAGGGAAACAACCCAGAC